Molecule: ribosomal RNA, 433 nt
Filed under: uncultured bacterium
Lineage: Bacteria
Description: partial 16S ribosomal RNA
Rfam family: Bacterial small subunit ribosomal RNA
Source: RNAcentral
AACGAACGCUGGCGGCAUGCCUAACACAUGCAAGUCGAACGAGACCUUCGGGUCUAGUGGCGCCCGGGUGCGUAACGCGUGGGAACCUGCCCUUAGGUUCGGGAUAACUCCCCGAAAGGGGUGCUAAUACCGGAUAAUGUCUUCGGACCAAAGAUUUAUCGCCUUUGGAUGGGCCCGCGUUGGAUUAGCUAGUUGGUAGGGUAAAAGCCUACCAAGGCGACGAUCCAUAGCUGGUCUGAGAGGAUGAUCAGCCACACUGGGACUGAGACACGGCCCAGACUCCUACGGGAGGCAGCAGUGGGGAAUAUUGGACAAUGGGCGAAAGCCUGAUCCAGCAAUGCCGCGUGAGUGAUGAAGGCCUUAGGGUUGUAAAGCUCUUUUACCCGGGAUGAUAAUGACAGUACCGGGAGAAUAAGCUCCGGCUAACUCCGUG